Amblyraja radiata (thorny skate) is the source of this 201-nucleotide long non-coding RNA. RefSeq lists it as uncharacterized. The transcript is spliced from 2 exons. Lineage: Eukaryota; Metazoa; Chordata; Chondrichthyes; Rajiformes; Rajidae. The record is from RefSeq and is a predicted model, not a curated record.
CCUUACUCAAAUCUUAUAAUGUGAAAUAUAAUCAAAGAAUAUCAGCUUUUGAUAGGGAAGAUAAACUUGUGAAAUUUCAUGAACCUUCAUGAUGUUAGUAAUCAUGUAUUUUUCUUUUUACAUCUUUCACUCGAGAUAAUUCCCCGCAGCACAGGGAACAGCUCCUAAGUGGAUGAAUUGCUAGUGUUCGUUUCCCAGUGU